RNAcentral lists this ribosomal RNA (468 nucleotides) under uncultured bacterium. Its description in RNAcentral is "partial 16S ribosomal RNA". It matches the Rfam family "Bacterial small subunit ribosomal RNA", at positions 28 to 507 of the family's 1533-position model. The record is from RNAcentral.
GACGAACGCUGGCGGCGUGCUUAACACAUGCCAGUCGAACGGAAAGGCCCUGCUUUUGUGGGGUGCUCGAGUGGCGAACGGGUGAGUAACACGUGAGUAACCUGCCCUUGACUUUGGGAUAACUUCAGGAAACUGGGGCUAAUACCGGAUAGGAGCGCCUGCUGCAUGGUGGGGGUUGGAAAGUUUCGGCGGUUGGGGAUGGACUCGCGGCUUAUCAGCUUGUUGGUGGGGUAGUGGCUUACCAAGGCUUUGACGGGUAGCCGGCCUGAGAGGGUGACCGGCCACAUUGGGACUGAGAUACGGCCCAGACUCCUACGGGAGGCAGCAGUGGGGAAUAUUGCACAAUGGGCGGAAGCCUGAUGCAGCAACGCCGCGUGCGGGAUGACGGCCUUCGGGUUGUAAACCGCUUUCGCCUGUGACGAAGCGUGAGUGACGGUAAUGGGUAAAGAAGCACCGGCUAACUACGUG